RNAcentral lists this ribosomal RNA (468 nucleotides) under uncultured bacterium. RNAcentral's name for it is "partial 16S ribosomal RNA". It matches the Rfam family "Bacterial small subunit ribosomal RNA", at positions 28 to 507 of the family's 1533-position model. The record is from RNAcentral.
GACGAACGCUGGCGGCGUGCUUAACACAUGCAAGUCGAACGGAAAGGCCCUGCUUUUGUGGGGUGCUCGAGUGGCGAACGGGUGGGUAACACGUGAGUAACCUGCCCUUGACUCUGGGAUAACUUCAGGAAACUGGGGCUAAUACCGGAUAGGAGCUCCUGCUGCAUGGUGGGGGUUGGAAAGUUUCGGCGGUUGGGGAUGGACUCGCGGCUUAUCAGCUUGUUGGUGGGGUAGUGGCUUACCAAGGCUUUGACGGGUAGCCGGCCUGAGAGGGUGACCGGCCACAUUGGGACUGAGAUACGGCCCAGACUCCUACGGGAGGCAGCAGUGGGGAAUAUUGCACAAUGGGCGGAAGCCUGAUGCAGCAACGCCGCGUGCGGGAUGACGGCCUUCGGGUUGUAAACCGCUUUCGCCUGUGACGAAGCGUGAGUGACGGUAAUGGGUAAAGAAGCACCGGCUAACUACGUG